Musa acuminata AAA Group (dessert banana) is the source of this 917-nucleotide long non-coding RNA. RefSeq lists it as uncharacterized. The transcript is spliced from 2 exons. The record is from RefSeq and is a predicted model, not a curated record. NCBI's taxonomy places the organism in Eukaryota, Viridiplantae, Streptophyta, Magnoliopsida, Zingiberales, Musaceae.
AGUAUCAAUCAGAGCUUUGUUUUCCUUGUCCUCUUAGGCAUGCAACUCAGCCUCCAUCAUUCUGUCAAUCUCAUCCUCACAAAAUGACCAUUAGAUGAGCCAAUGGUGGUGUCGUGUUCCUUCACUGUUGCAUUGUCUUUAGCAGAGUUGGCAUCAAGAUCAAAUGCUGACCUCAGUCUGCCUACCAGCUCAACUUCACCAAAGAACUUGUUCAUGUUGACCUGGGGGUCAUGGUUGUCAGGGACAGUGGAGAAAACCUGAACAUGGCAACAAGAACAAAUCUACUACUAAGAAAUCAAGUAAGCAAGUUCAUGUUGCAUAUGGAACAGAAGAAGAAGAAGAAGAAGAAGAAGAUGAUGAUGAUGAUGAUGUCAAAAUCUGGAGAUACCACUUCAUCUAAGGGAUAACAUGGUUAAUGAUAUGAUCCAGAAACCAUAUGCUACAUGAGAUAUCAAGAUACAUAAGCAUAUGAGAACAGUUGAAACUUGCAUCUCCCAGAAGAAAAAGAGAGACAAAGAAACAAAUUUCUUGACUCUUCUUUGUUAGAAUAGCUAAUGACAUCUCCCAGAAGAAAAAGAGACAAAGAAACUUGCAUCUCCCAGAAGAAAGUGACAAUGGAGUAACAUCCACAGGAAGACUGCCACCACCCAGGGUUGCAGCUCCCUCCCUCCCCACUGCAACAGUUUCAUCAGGCUCACUCUCUUGCUUGGAUUUCUUCCCUCCCAAGAACUUGGCAGCUCUGCCAGCAUCCAAGCUCACUGGAUUGGGAAUUUGUCUCUGUUCUUUGCUGGCACUCCACAGGCUUUCAGCUGUUCCAACCACUGAGUCUGAUCUAUUUUACCAAGUAUCUGUUGACAAUUCUACAGCAUUAGUAUUUACUUCCAAUAAACAUCUUGUGAGCAUGUAAUCCAACUUAA